This 383-nucleotide ribosomal RNA is filed under the name uncultured bacterium. RNAcentral describes it as "bacterial SSU rRNA". It matches the Rfam family "Bacterial small subunit ribosomal RNA", at positions 29 to 429 of the family's 1533-position model. The record is from RNAcentral.
AACGAACGCUGGCGGCAUGCCUAACACAUGCAAGUCGAACGGGAUCCUGGCUUCGGUCAGGUGAGAGUGGCGGACGGGUGAGUAACGCGUGGGAACCUGCCCAGUGGUGGGGGAUAACUGCGGGAAACUGCAGCUAAUACCGCAUGAGCCCGAGAGGGGAAAGAUUUAUCGCCAUUGGAGGGGCCCGCGUUCGAUUAGGUAGUUGGUGAGGUAACGGCUCACCAAGCCGACGAUCGAUAGCUGGUCUGAGAGGAUGAUCAGCCACACUGGGACUGAGAUACGGCCCAGACUCCUACGGGAGGCAGCAGUGGGGGAAUAUUGGACAAUGGGGGGCAACCCUGAUCCAGCAAUGCCGCGUGAGUGAUGAAGGCCUCGGUUGUAAG